This is a non-coding RNA of Lentinula aff. detonsa, 83 nucleotides long. Lineage: Eukaryota; Fungi; Basidiomycota; Agaricomycetes; Agaricales; Omphalotaceae. The record is from the annotation of a GenBank genome assembly.
GGCCGACUAGCUCAGUUGGUUAGAGCGUCGUGCUAAUACCAAUGUUAACGCGAAGGUCUUGGGUUCGAUCCCCACGUUGGCCA